This 3934-nucleotide long non-coding RNA is filed under the name Mus pahari (shrew mouse). RNAcentral describes it as "lncRNA (MGP_PahariEiJ_G0005403.1)". The record is from RNAcentral. Lineage: Eukaryota; Metazoa; Chordata; Mammalia; Rodentia; Muridae.
ACUUAGGAUCCUGAAGGACUAAAAAGAGCCCUGGCUUGGGGGCGUCUGAUGAUCCAUGAGCUGGGGCUGUGGAGACAGAAGCGAAGAAAUUGAGACAUGGAAACGCAGGAUGACAUCCAGUGUCCAUUCUCAGAAAGACUGUUCUCUGAGAUGUUCCCCAAGUUUCUGGGGAUCCCCCUCUGCAUCCUGCCCACCACGACAUUGCUGGACUGUUCUGCGACACUGCACCUUCCCUACCUUGACAGAGUAAGGCCUCUGAAAACAGGAGCCCAAAUCAGUUAAGUUGUUCCCUCAAAUAUUUUGGUUAACUACUCGUAAGUAAAAGUAAUGAGUCACUUGUCUGCCGUAAAACUCGCCUCACGGGUCUGAAUGGAAUCCUCCUGCAUCUGUCCUCCUUCUGCGCUUUGCUGGGGUUUUGCUAGUGGGAUGGUGUCCUUCUUACUCCGGGGCUUUUAAAUCUCAACGUUGUCUGUGAGUUGUCCUUUCUCUCCGUCCUUGGACAGUCAGAGCUACCCAGCCCUGGUCUCCGGGGACCACCCUUUUUUCUCUGUCUCCAAAGCCAGGGUCCUCCUACAGUUUUGGGGAUCCAUGAAGACCCAUCGUUAGACCCCCCAUGAAUCUUCCAGGCACCUUCCUCUUCAUCCUAUAUCACAAACGAUUACCAACCAAAUCUUCUAUAUAAAAAUGACGAUUCCACCUGUCACCUAGUCUAGAGCUCUCAGACACAUUUGCGGCGGUGACGUGGGCUCCUAUUCUGCUUUCUAUAAUCUUUGUAUGAGAAAAGCCAGGAGCUGUUUCUUUACGUUUUUCUUCUUCUCGGAAUGCUCAGGACAUCUCUGCUAAUGCAUCCCCCCCCCCCCGCACUCCCUACAAGAACGGGGUCCUUAGGGUAGCUUGCCAAGCCAUGAGCCCACUCGUAAAUGGCUUAGACCACGGGUAGACAUUUGAUUCAUGAGCAGCCAGCAGAGGCAGCUUGUCAUAAAGAGCUGUCCAUGCAGAACAGCCAGCGCUGGACGGAGGCCACCGAAUCAAUUUGGACCUCUCCUGGGAGUCUCGUUCCCAGGGAGCCGCUGAGCAGAGUCAGCGAGGGGCUGAGGAGGAGUCACCCAACCCAGAGUGACAGCCUUAGGGACAGUGAGAUAAUGGUGCUAGACGCACUGUCCUGAAUGAUCUCACCGGGCACUGGUUGUGCCUUUUGAUUCCUAUAUGCUGAUGUUUUGAUAUCUGGGGGCCUUCCUGACUGACUCUGGAGGGGGGACAUCUGUGGGCCUUACUGACUCUGGAUGGGGACAUCGGGGGGUCCUUAUUGACUCUAGAGGGGGACAUCUGGGGGUCUUCCUGACUGACUCUGGAGGGGGAAGUCGUAGGGGAAGUAGUUAAUUGCCUCUUCUCUCCCACCCCAGCAUGGCUCUCAGAUGUAAACCAACCAAAGCCCCCGCCCUGCCCACCUCCUUUCCUGACUUCUCUUUUUCACAGGUACACUCCACCUUCCUCCAUCACUGCUAGUCCAGGUACCCAGCUCAGGGUGGUCCCUAGAGCCCAGACUUAAGAAGCAUAAUUUUCACCUAAGCCGAACCUGCUCACUCUUCCCUGACCACUCCUUCCCACAACGCUCAGUAAAGCUUUUACCCUCCUUCCUCCUCCCUCCUGACCAGGUGCUACCCUCGUGGUCCCCUGUGGUAUAGCAAGGUCUUUAUUCUUGGAACUGAAUGACCUGUCUUGUCAAGGGCAGCUGCCUCCUGGUCCGCUGACCUCAUUUCUAAAAUCGGCAGAUGCUGCGUGACUCACCCAUCUCUGGGGAGGCUGGCUGUGUGGUUGUUCCUCUUCGAGACAGGGCCGGGGCUCUUCCUGCCUUACCCUAGGUAAAUGUACUAAAUACGACCUGUCUCACUUUCAGUGGGUCGUUACUGCUUCUUUAGAUCAGAUCUUGACUUUCUCUACGGAGCUGCCCACCCCCGUUCCGCCCGCCCCCCACCAUGCUCUUCACAGGCAAGCAUGCUGACUCUCUUUGUAAAUAGCCUUAAAUAUAUUCUUGUCCCCUGUGCCUGGCCAUGAGGCCAUCCUUCGGACAAAUUCCUGCCUUCCCCGUGCCUAAAACUACUCUCUUUCUCCAGGGUCUCACAUUCAGACAUCCUGUGAUGGCUUCUGUAACCCCACGUGCCUCUCUCUGCACAUCAGCAUCACCCGUGUGUGGGUUCCGAUCCCACCACAGAGCAUCCAGUGUUCCCUGCUUAUUGUUUGGGAACUCUCUCUCCUCAGGGCUGUACACACUCUCAGUUCAGGAGACAGAUGUUGGAUAUUUUGCUUGGUGAUAGGACGCACUGGUAUCUAAGCAACUGAUAUCUUUCUUCUCAUCAAGCCGGGGGUAUAAAAUCCACACAUAGAGCAACAGUUGCUACCUGUUGAGCCAGAGCCUGGCUGGAGGGGAAGCCCCAUUUUAUCUCCAUUCAGAGUUCCAGGAAGGCCGGCCCCCAGCUUUCUUAAGUGGAGAGAACUUCAUUCAUUUCCUAAUGGGUCAUACUUGGGGAAAGAUUCGAGUUUCUUCAUUUUAGUGUCAGGCCAGUAAGGGGUUGCAAAGUACAGAGUAAGGAAUGAGGGUAAAGCAAGAGGGAUGGGCCCACCAGUGGAGGCUGGGACGGGGAGACUGGAGCAGAAGCAAGGCAAUCAAACAUGCCCCUCACAGUUUUGAUCCGGCUCUAACCUGUUUGAAAGGAAAACAUCUGGCUUGUCUUCCAUGGGAGUUGACAGUGUAAAGGAUUUCAGGGCACAUUCCUGAUAGUUCCCUGAGGGACUUCCUAACAAGGGGGUGGAGCCACAUAGUUCUUGGAAUGGUCUCCCAUCGAAGACAUUGUAUUUAGAGUUUGAGGUAUACAAAUAAUUCAGAUGCUACACUGUAAGCCCUAAAUAUAACUUAAACCCACAAACAACUCCCCUUUGCCAGCUCUAUGCCUGCAUCCCUUUAAAUGGACUUUCUGUUCCUGACCGCACUGUAAUCAGCAGAUAGCCCUACCGUCCCCCCACUCCCUCCUCCUCCCUUAAAACAGACCCUUCUAAUAGCUAGCAUCCUGCAGUGACCAAAGCCAUUAGAAGGAUUACACCAUUACUAUCCUGUCCAGCACACACAUAAUGCCCCAGGGAUUGCCUUUCUUCUUCUUUGCUUGAUGCUUUUUUUGUGGAUGAAAUCAGGGCCCGAUGGUGGGUUGAAAAAAAAAUCAAAAACCGAAGAGGGCAGAAGGUGACAGUCAUUCUUUUCAAGGGCACCUCCCAAACAGCUUUCCCCACUUGAGAUUCCUUUGUGAAGGUGACGGCAGAUGUCAGCCUUGUGGAUAAAGCAGGCUCUGAAAGCACGCGGACAGGUUACAGACCUCUGUUCCUCGUUACCAUAAUAUUGAAUGCUCAUCUUUUCCCAGGCACGACAGCGAAUAUGUGCUCUGCCUGCUUGCUCACUGUUGUUUGUGCUGGAAAGAACCCGGGCCCAGCCCAGAGCCACGUUGCAGGGCUCAGGACUGCUCUGAAACACUGCCACCUCGUGGGGUGAUGAGGGUUCUGUAGCCCAGGAGUCCUUCUAGCAUGUGGGGACUCUCGGGACCUGUCAAACCAAGAGGGAGAGCCAACUCCUAGAGACCUGGAGGCUUCUAGUACUUCAGGACAGACAAUGGGUCUGAAAUUCUUACUUGGGGCCAUAUGGAUUGGCCGUGCAGGGAGGAAAUUAUAUCUGGCUCUCUGUUUCUGCUCAACUCUUCCCACUGGAUGUCAUCCACCUGGGGAUGUCAAAAGAGAAAAUACAGGGCACUGGGCAGACGGCUCAGUGGCUAAGAGCACUGGCAGCUCUGGCAGACAAGCCAGGUUCCUGCCCUGCUUGAGUUCCUGUCUUGACUUCCUACAAUGAUGAACAGCAAUGUGGAAGUGUAAGCCAGAUAAACCGUUUCUCCCC